GUACACGCUGUGACUAGCAUAUCAAUAAGCGGAGGAAAAGAAACUAACAAGGAUUCCCCUAGUAACGGCGAGUGAAGCGGGAAGAGCUCAAAUUUGAAAUCUUAAAGGGUUUCCCUUUACGAAUUGUAGUUUAAAGAAGUGUUUUCUGUUGAGGUUUUGGUAAAAGUUCUUUGGAAUAGGACAUCAUAGAGGGUGAGAAUCCCGUAUUUGACCUUUACUUUCAACUUUGUGAUACACUUUCAAAGAGUCGGACUGUUUGGGAAUGCAGUCCAAAAUGGAUGGUAAAUUUCAUCUAAAGCUAAAUAUUGGCGAGAGACCGAUAGCGAACAAGUACCGUGAGGGAAAGAUGAAAAGAACUUUGAAAAGAGAGUUAAACAGUACGUGAAAUUGUCAAAAGGGAAGCGUUUGACACCAGUGUUGUUUUUCUGAAAAUCAAUUAAAGAACUGUUUAUGCUAAGCUGUUUAGACUUUAUCAGCUAACUGUUUAGUUUUGAGCUUUUCUUUAAUGCACUUUUCAGUUAACAAGUCAACAUCAAUUUCUUUUGCUGUAAAAAAGCUUGAGGAAGGUGGCUUGAGAUUCGUCUUAAGUGUUUAUAGCCUCUUGCCUAUGCAGUCGGAGAGAUUGAGGUCUGCAGCGUAGAUCCUUCGGGGCUGAAUGCAUUUGUGCUAAGUUAUAGCAUUUUAUAGACAACUUGUUGACUAUGAUUUGUCUUGUAGCUUACUCGCUUAUGUUAUUUUACCUACGCUUAGGAUGUUGAAGAUGUAGCACAUCAU
RNAcentral lists this ribosomal RNA (774 nucleotides) under uncultured Neocallimastigales. RNAcentral describes it as "partial large subunit ribosomal RNA". It matches the Rfam family "Eukaryotic large subunit ribosomal RNA", at positions 22 to 635 of the family's 3401-position model. The record is from RNAcentral. Lineage: Eukaryota; Fungi; Neocallimastigomycota; Neocallimastigomycetes; Neocallimastigales.